UAUUACUUCAUUCGUAAAGAUUCUCCUUAGUAAAUUCUUUGGUUAUGUUGUGGACUUUCUUUUUCUCGUACUUUUUUAGGAUUUCUCCCCAUGUAGGGAUGGGUAGUAGAAUACGUUUCCCUACCGCAGCCAGAAGCGUGACGUAAGAGGCGUCUAACUGUGCAAACCAGUUCCUAAGUUCAGAAAAGGGACUAUUCUAGUUUAGAAGUCCUUUUCCAUUUCUCUCUUAACUUUUGUUGUAAUUUAGCUUAUCUCGCCGCAUGAUAACUCUAAAAAUUCCUAAUUUAUUCGUUCAAGUAAAAUGUAGUUAUUAAAAUUAUAAAAUUAGAUGGCCGAUCGGUUUAGUAUAAAUUUAGCAUAAGUAUAUUUCCCGGAUUUGACUUUUACCUCCCCUCAUUGGAUCCCUGAGGAAGGACUCGGACUUUACUCUCACCACUUCCUCAGCGAAGUUGGUCAUUUAAAAGGCUACACUAUUUAGUGCUAGUUCCUUUCCUUCCAUUGUGUAAGGAAAGCUGGUGGUGGUGUGCCAGUCACAAUUGGUUUAUUUGAGUUGUCUCAGUACACUCAUUACAUUUUAUUUCAUUUCCUUCCAUUGUGUAAGGAAAGCUGGUGGUGGUGUGCCAGUCACAAUUGGUUUAUUUGAGUUGUCUCAGUACACUCAUCACAUUUUAUUUCAUUUACUUCCAUUGUGUAAGGAAAGCUGGUGGUGGUGUGCCAGUCACAAUUGGUUUAUUUGAGUUGUCUCAGUACACUCAUUACAUUUUAUUUCAUUUCCUUCCAUUGUGUAAGGAAAGCUGGUGGUGGUGUGCCAGUCACAAUUGGUUUAUUUGAGUUGUCACAGUACACUCAUUCCAUUUCCUUUCUUUUUCGAUAGUCAGUGGUGACAGUACCUAACUGCACUCUAAAUUCCCUUUUAUUUCCAAAUUAGUCAGCGGCGAUGGUGCCUAGCUGCACUACCCCCUUUGUUAGUUAAUAACAAAUUCUUCUUUAACUGUAGGUUAAUUUGGCAUGUAAAGUGAAACUAGUCAGCGGCGUGGGUGCCUAACUGUACUAAUCAUCUCCUCGUUUUGUAUUACCUUAAGUCUCUAAUUAAAUUAAAAUAGUUCAGCACGUCAGCUUAGCAUAAGACAGUGGCAGAGGUGCCUAACUGUAUUAUAAUUCCCUUAACUUAGUAUACUAUAAAUUUUGUUUCUUCAUAAAUAAUAAAAUUUAGUGGUAACCUCGUUUUCGCAUGUUAGUAAUUCCAGACAGUGGCUUUGGGGCUCAACUGUCUCUAAUUGUUAGUUAACUUAAUGCAUUGCAUCUGCACGAGUAGAGUAUAAUUGAUUGGUUAGUUUUCAUUUUACAUCCCUUAAAUUUAAGUUUGUUUAAUUUCAAUUCUCCUAAAAUCAAUGUAGAAGCGGAAUUGAACUGUUGAUAGGUGGUGCUGAGGCCCGUCGUUUCUCACUCUUUCCCUCUUGUACCGUAGAACCAUUAAUAAUAGCAAGUUUUAAAGUUAGUCACAGGAUUUUCAACUUUAGUUUUUCUAUGUCCUAUAAUUACAAUAAUUACUCUUAUAAGUUUACUCUAGUAUUCCGCCCAAAGUAUUCCUUGAUAAACUUUAAGCUCUGCAGUUCAGUUCUAGUCUAGCGGUUAUUUUUGAGUUAGCUUUUGUUUUCUUCCAUAAAAAAUAGUUCCUAUUUUUUAUUUUUCACAGAAAGGGGGUAAUGUAACGUGUCAAUAAGUCACGUCACAUACUAAACACAUAUUUAAUAAAGUUCUCCAUGAGUUAGCCUACAUUUGUUUAGAUUUAUUUCCAAAUUAGAAAAUAUUCCCAAUUCCUGUUUUAUUUACAACCAUUCGCUUGUCACUUUGACGUUUGACAGCGAACUAUUUGAGUUUCGUUGUCUUUGACAGAUUCGGUAACUUUCAUUCCAAUGCCUUUAAAAUUGUCUCAAACGUUUUCAUAUUUGAUAAAUUCUUCUUUUCGUUUAAAUUUCGCAAGUGGUAGUUUUGUUUUAGGAAAAAUAGAUCCGACAAUAUUUGAUAAUAUAUUUAAUAAUAUAUUCGUCAAAAAUUGUUCAAAAUUUAUUACAAUUUUAGCAUUUUGGUUAGCAAAAAUCAUUCUUAUUUCGGAUCUGGUAACAUUUCUUCUUAUCGAUGGUUCGAUGUGAAUUCCGUCUUGUCAUUUUACUGUCAGCUUUCUCAUUGGAAAACAGAUAAAAUUUUGAUCCGAGAAAAUCAUUGUAAAUUUCCAUUAUUUUGGUGAAAUACCGGCAGUGCUUUGUUCCGGAGGUUUGCUCCGUCCCUCAGGAAUGGAUUAGGGGCGAAAAUAAUGCCGCCACGGCAAACCCCGGCAACCUAAUGAAGGGCUAACGUAAGUUUUUCCUCAAUUUCCACAAUCGUCUUUCGGAAAAUGCGAUUCCUUUUAAAUUUUCCGGUUCGACUUUAGCUGACUCGCGCCAUUUUUCUUUUCCAGAUAAGGGGCGUGUUAGCCCUUAUAACCCUUAUAAUCCUUUUAA
Long non-coding RNA from Cydia amplana, 2501 nucleotides. RefSeq lists it as uncharacterized. The transcript has 2 exons. NCBI's taxonomy places the organism in Eukaryota, Metazoa, Arthropoda, Insecta, Lepidoptera, Tortricidae. The record is from RefSeq and is a predicted model, not a curated record.